GGCCCGCACAAGCGGCGGAGCAUGCGGAUUAAUUCGAUGCAACGCGAAGAACCUUACCAAGGCUUGACAUACACCGGACCGGGCCAGAGAUGGUCUUUCCCCCUUGUGGGGCUGGUGUACAGGUGGUGCUUGGUUGUCGUCAGCUCGUGUCGUGAGAUGUUGGGUUAAGUCCCGCAACGAGCGCAACCCUCGUUCUAUGUUGCCAGCACGUGAUGGUGGGGACUCAUAGGAGACUGCCGGGGUCAACUCGGAGGAAGGUGGGGAUGACGUCAAAUCAUCAUGCCCCUUAUGUCUUGGGCUUCACGCAUGCUACAAUGGCCAGUACAAUGGGUUGCGAUGCCGCGAGGUGGAGCUAAUCCCAAAAAGCUGGUCUCAGUUCGGAUCGUGGUCUGCAACUCGACCACGUGAAGUCGGAGUCGCUAGUAAUCGCAGAUCAGCAACGCUGCGGUGAAUACGUUCCCGGGCCUUGUACACACCGCCCGUCAAGUCACGAAAGUUGGUAACACCCGAAGCCG
Molecule: ribosomal RNA, 515 nt
Filed under: Kocuria sp. S_4.3
Lineage: Bacteria; Bacillati; Actinomycetota; Actinomycetes; Micrococcales; Micrococcaceae
Description: bacterial SSU rRNA
Rfam family: Bacterial small subunit ribosomal RNA
Source: RNAcentral